Octopus bimaculoides (California two-spot octopus) is the source of this 3235-nucleotide unclassified non-coding RNA. NCBI's taxonomy places the organism in Eukaryota, Metazoa, Mollusca, Cephalopoda, Octopoda, Octopodidae. The record is from RefSeq and is a predicted model, not a curated record.
GUUUGUACGUACGUUCAUUCGUUCGUUCGAACGUACGUAUGUACGUACAUUCGUUCGUUUGUUUGUACGUACGUACGCACUUUCGUUCGUUCGUACUUACUUAUGUAAAUGCGUACGUACGUUUGGUCGUUCGAUCAUUCGUUCGUUCGUACGUUCGUUCAUUCAUUCCUUCUUUAGUUCGUACGUGCGUACGUACGUAUGUACUUUCGUUCGUACUUACGUACGUUCGUUCGUUCGUUCAUUCGUACGUACUUACGUUCAAUUGCACGCUCGUUCUUUUGUGCACUCGUUCAUUCGUAUGUACGAAAGAACGAACGAACGAAUGAUCGAACGACCGAACGUACGUAUUUACGUAAGUAAGUACGAACGAACGAACGUACGUCUUUAUUACGAACGAUCGAACCUGCGUACGUACGUGCAAACGAACGAAUUUAUGUACGUACGAACGAACGGACGAACAAAUGAACGAACGAACGUAAGAACGUACGAACGAAAUAAUGAACGUAAGUACGAACGAACGAGCGCACAAAAGAAGUACGAACGAAAAAAACUUACGUACAAACGAACGAACGUACUUACGUAAGUACGUACGAAGGUUCGAGCGUUCGUAAUACGUACGUUCGCUCUUUCGUUUGUUCGUUCGUUUGUAAGUACGUACAUAAGGUACGUACUUACGUAAGUUCGUAUUUACUAACGUACGUUCUUUCGUACCUACGUUCGUUCGUACGUACGGACGUACGUAUGUACGUUCGUAGGUGCGUAUCUUCGUUCGUUUGAACUUACGUACGAUCUUUCGUACCUACGUAAGUACGUCCGUUCAUUUGUUAGUUCGUUCUUUCUUUCCAAUGUUCCGACGUACGUUCGUUCGGUUGUUCGAAGGUACAUACUUACGUUCGUUCGUACGUAUCUUCGUUCGUUUGAACUUACGUACGAUCUUUCGUUCGUACCUACGUAAGUACGUCCGUUCAUUCGUUAGUUUGUUCUUUCGUUCGUACGUACGUACGAAAGAUCGUUCGUUCGAAUGUUCCGACGUACGUUCGUUCGGUCGUUCUUUAGAAGGUACAUACUUACGUAAGUAUGUAUGUUCAUUCUUUCGUUCGUUUGUUCGUACGUUCGUUCUUUCAUCCAUCCGUACGCAUGUACAUACGUACGUUCGUAGGGAAUUUCGAUCGUUGUUACCUUCGAACGUUCGUUCAUUUAUUCGUUAUUUCAUUCGUUUGUUCGGACGUACGUUCGUUCUUUCGCUCGUACAUACGUUCGUUCAUUUGUUCGUUCCUUCGUUCGUUUGUACUUACGUACGUACGUUCUUUCGUUCGUACGUACGUCCGUUCAUUCGUUAGUUGGUUCUUUCGUUUGUUCGUACCUUCUUUUGUACGCUUGUUCAUUCGUUCUUUCGUUCGUAUGUACUUACGUGCGUUCGUCCGUAAGUUCGUACUUACGUUCGUUCGUACGUACGUACGUAGUUUUUUUCGUACGUUCGUUCGUUUCGCUCGUUCUUUCCUUCGUUCGUUCGUUUUUUCUUACGUACGUACAAACGUUCAUUUGUUUAUUCGUUCGUUCGUAAGUUCGUGCGAACGUACGUACGUUUGUUCGAUAUUUGAUGUCUACAUACAUACGUACGUUAGUUCGUUCAUUCAUUCGUCCGUUCCUUUGUUGGUCCGUUCGUUCAUUCUUUCUUUCGUUCGUUCGUACGGACAUAAGGUACGUUCAUUAGUUCGAUCGUUCGUACGUACGUACUUAAGUAAGUACGUACGUUCGUUAGUUCGUACUUACGUUCGUUCAUUCGUUUGUACGUACCUUAGGUACGUUCGUUCGUUCGUACAUACAUUCAUUAGUUCGUUUGUACGUACGUACGCAAUUUCGUUCGUUCGUUCGUUCUUUCUUUCGUUCGUACGUACGUACGUUCGUUCGUUUGUACGUACCUUCAUUCGUUCGUUCGUUUGUAUGUACGUACGCACUUUCGUUCGUUCGUUCUUAUGUACGGACAUAGGGUACGUUCGUUCGUACGUACAUUCAUUAGUUCGUUUGUACGUACGUACGCACUUUCGUUCGUUCGUUCGUACAUACGUACGUUCGUUCGUUUGUACGUACGUUUUUUUCGUUCGUUCGUUCGUUCUUUUGUACGCUCGUUCGUACCAUGUGGUUGGGAAGCAAGCUUCUUACCAGACUGCCAUUUUGUGUAUUAUAGAAGUAUAAGCAAUUUUAUUGCAGAUAAAUUUUAACAAGAAAAUAUCAUAUGGAUCCUAGUUGAGAACAACUGCUCAGUAUGGUCACUCAGUCUGCUAGAAAUAACUCAUAUUUCUCUCCAAUCACAGUUGACAUCAGUGGUUCUCAACCAUCUUUUUUCCGUGGACCCCUUCAAACCCCCAUUUUACUCUACUGGACCUCCACUGCUAUUAACUGUAUAUAUAAAAAAAAUCUUACUGUGUUUUUAUAAUUAAAUAUUUUGUAUAUUGUAGAAGUAUAAGUGAUUUAUUGUAGAGAAACUUCAACAACGAAAUCUUAUUGCUCCCACCAAGGGUCAUAUGGACCUCCAGUUGAGAGCCACUUAUCUAAUGGUUCUGCUAAUAUCUCUCACUAAUACCUGUUGUGUUGUAGGUAGCUGUAUUGAUCCAAGACAAUCAAAAUUUGGAAGCCAAAGUUGAAGAGUUGGAGAAGAGGUUGAUGGACACAAACAAAUUAGAGGCGGAACUGAAGCAGUUACAACUACGAUCCGAAAAGGUGUGUCGUCGUUGUGGUAAUGAAAUCAAACCAUGUCUACCAGCUGGAGUCCUUGGCAAAGAAGUGGAGCAUGAUGAACCACAGAUGACAAGUGAAGGCAAGGUUGCACGUUUAGAGGAUGGUGGCAGUGUGUAUGGUAGUAAUGAAUCUAUUCACAAAGUCCUCAUGGAGACUCGGGAACAACUGUCAGGCAACGGUGUACAGUCUAAUGUCUCCAUUCUCAGUGAGCUCGAGUCACAGUACUACGCUCUAUGUCAAAAAUACGAGUCUCUCCUGCAGCACAAAUUGCGGAGACCUCGAUCAGGUACAGACUUUGAUGAAGAUGAAGCCGACAGGAAUUUCCGUGUUUCGCACAAGGAAGUGCAGACCCUCCUUGUAAACCUGCAUCGCUGUGUCGAGGUGAAUACAGACGUUGGAGACUCCACGACAAGCCCACCACCGUAUCGGUCCCUUUUCAAAGACAUCUUUGCUACCCUGCGCAAAUCUCGAAUCGAAGAGUCUCCAGAACAGCAAC